Molecule: ribosomal RNA, 449 nt
Filed under: uncultured bacterium
Lineage: Bacteria
Description: bacterial SSU rRNA
Rfam family: Bacterial small subunit ribosomal RNA
Source: RNAcentral
GCUUGCUACAUUUCCUAGCGGCGGACGGGUGAGUAAUGCUUAGGAAUUUGCCUAUUAGUGGGGGACAACAUUCCGAAAGGAAUGCUAAUACCGCAUACGCCCUACGGGGGAAAGCAGGGGAUUUUCGGACCCUGCGCUAAUAGAUGAGCCUAAGUCAGAUUAGCUAGUUGGUGGGGUAAAGGCCUACCAAGGCGACGAUCUGUAGCGGGUUUGAGAGGAUGAUCCGCCACACUGGGAAUGAGACACGGCCCAGACUCCUACGGGAGGCAGCAGUGGGGAAUUUUGGACAAUGGGCGAAAACCUGAUCCAACCCUGCCGCGUGUGUGAAGAAGGCCUUUUGGUUGUAAAACACUUUAAGUGGGGAGGAGGCUUACCUGGUUAAUACCUGGGCUAGAGUGGACGUUACCCCCCGAAUAAGCCCCGGCUAACUCUGUGCCCGCCGCCGCGGU